AUGUCCAGUGGCUGGUAAGGAUUUAUGAUGCUUGUGGAUUGGAUAAUAUAUAGGAUAUUCAGGAUGGAAGAUGUGUUCUCCGACCAGUGAUAAGGAGAAAGGACUUUUCCUUCUGUCCACUUUUGUUCUUCUGACAAAAAUAAAUCUAGGGGCAUUCUUUAGAUGACUGCUGGAUGACAGAAGGUCACCGUAUGUCCUGUCAUAUCUGUAACAUGUGCCUAAAUGUUACCAGUGCCACCUUUGCCUUUCAUGACAACUUGGAAAGAAGAGUUGAUAAAAGGGGAUCCAGCUCAUGCUGCAGAUGACCACUGGUGCUGAACGUCACAGCUGAAACUGCAACUUGCCCGCCACAGGCAGAGUAAAGAUGGAUCAUCUCUGGUGGCAGCAGGGAAGCUGUAGUGAGGCAGUGAUGGGCUGUGACUUUGUGGUUCAUUUAGAGAACAGCUGGAUGGGGAUAUUUUCCAGCCAGGGGAGGCAGCAGCUCUUGCAUUCCCCCUCCGCAGCAAAGGGAAGUGGCUGCACACCCAGGUAGGACGGGGACAGCACCUGUGCAACUGACUCUGAUCUUCCCAGUGGACUUGCUCACUUGGAGAGACUUCAAAGUAGGCUUAACUUUAUACUACAGAAGAAAGAAGUCAGAUUUCCAAAUCACAAGUUAUCCUGUAUUAAAAAUGUAGUAUUCCUUGUGGCCAGUGCUGAUGUACCCAUGAGCAUCCUCAUAGGCAAAUAUGUUUCCACCCUGAGACCUGCACUCAACCUGGAAAAUAUUGCAUAUACAGCAUGUGACAGAAAUUAUGCCAAUACCUCAUUACACGUGGUUAUCCUACUGCUAUACAGAACAAACUACUUUAAAAACAUCAAAAAAGCCAAACUAUGUGUACUCUAGUAUUGCUUUUCUUCACAUUUUUCCUGCAGUUUCCUUAUGGUUUUGAUAAACUCUUUGUGUUUUGAGAGUAGUACUGUUAUCGUGGGUUAGAGUCUCUGUGUGAGAAGCCAAGUGCUUUAAGGCUGGCUGUGAGGCUAAGAAAGAAGCCUGGAAUGAUCAGCUUGAGGUACAUCUUAGUUAUGGGAAUCACAAAAUUCUUGCCUGUCUCUGGUGGAAAAGAACUCUCAAGGGCAUGGACACCAUAAUGUUAGGGAACUGCCAACAGCAUAACUCUGACUUAGAGAUGUGAAUGUUUGCUUAAACUUUCUCCAAGGGAGGAAAUAGUGCUCAGAACUACACACAGCUUAUUUCCACGCUUUUGUGUCAAGAACGGAAUUCUCCUAAGAUAGGAAAUUGAACAUAAUAACUGUUUAUGUAAAAUAGUUAAUACAGUGAUGGUUUGUUUUUUUUUUUUUUUUUUUUAAAUCAACACUUUUAGAAAAUCGUAGUAGGGGUUUAAUAGACAGCUGUUGAAGGACGCAUGAGUAUGGCAACAUUAGCUAUAUUCAAGCUGCUUGGAGGCCGGAGGCUUUUUCCUAUUUUUUUUUUCCCUCUCAUAAAUCUUAGUGCAUGAAUAGGUGAUACACAGAGUGUUACAAUGUCACUUCAAUUCUUUACAUGAAAGUUAACAAAUCCUACAUGCUGAAGCAAUGUGAAACCAAAUUCAACAGAAGUCAGGUGGCUGCUAUUUGUGUACUCUAGCAUGAGUGCUGGUAACUGUGCAGUGAUGGAAGAUCAAAGCAAAACAAACAAAACCUUACAAUACCUCUAUGCUUCCCCAAAACAAAACAACAGUAAUUAAUGUUGGAUAAAACACUUUUGACUGUAAGCUGCUGAAUAUUACUCACAGAAUAUAUUAUCCUCCCAAAGUAGCUGUUAUUCAUUAAAUAAAUUAUUCAAGAAUAAUCUUUUGCAGUAUUUGACCAUCUCUCUAUUUGGUUGAAUGCCAACUCAUUGAACAAACUGUUCAAAAGAUAACAGCUUGAUUCAUGUAUAAUGUACUUGAAAAGCUUCUUUUCUGGUUCUUACCAUCUCUGCUGAGACUAAGUAGUAUCCUGGGCAUUUAUUAAUAAUUUGUCUUAUGGCUGGCAAAAAUGAAUGUAGGCACCAAUAAAGGACAGGAUCUGACUUACCCUGAGGUCAGUCAGGGUUUUUCCAUUGACUUUAAGCUAGUCCAGGGUUUCACCUGAGGUGUUUAAAUGAUGACUUUGAAUUGUGAUGCAUAUUGUUAGUGUAUUUAAGUUUGUCUAUAAAGAACUGAUUCUAUUGUAAUAUCUUACAGUGAUGACAGUGUGCCAUAACAUUUUGGUAUAAACUUUCUAUAGAUGAUUGAUGUAGGAAUAGAAUAAUUAUCCAACAUGAACAGACCUGUUUGUGUUAGUUACCUCUCUUAAGAGUCACUCUUUGAGCUUAUAUCAAUCUGUAAAUCACUGAAAGUAUGGAAAUUGCAGUGGUGAUGUUGAUA
Molecule: long non-coding RNA, 2390 nt
Organism: Myiozetetes cayanensis
Lineage: Eukaryota; Metazoa; Chordata; Aves; Passeriformes; Tyrannidae
Exons: 4
Source: RefSeq, a predicted model, not a curated record